Molecule: ribosomal RNA, 60 nt
Filed under: Phytophthora colocasiae
Lineage: Eukaryota; Oomycota; Peronosporomycetes; Peronosporales; Peronosporaceae
Description: partial 28S ribosomal RNA
Rfam family: Eukaryotic large subunit ribosomal RNA
Source: RNAcentral
UUGGACCUGAUAUCAGGCAAGAUUAUCCGCUGAACUUAAGCAUAUCAAUAAGCGGAGGAA